Molecule: long non-coding RNA, 252 nt
Filed under: Lathyrus oleraceus (garden pea)
Lineage: Eukaryota; Viridiplantae; Streptophyta; Magnoliopsida; Fabales; Fabaceae
Description: Pisum sativum (pea) long non-coding RNA (PSAT_LNC024574)
Source: RNAcentral
AUCAUGAAAUUAAAACCAUAAAAAACUAGACAUCAAAACAAAACUAUGAAAAAAAAAUGGAGUUCAUUUAGAUCAUUUUUGAAUUUUUAAUGAAUUAAAUGAAAUGAGCAAAAUAAUUGGAAUAACAUGGAAAAUAUGGAGGGAAAUUAAAAUAUUUGAAUCAAAUCAGAGUAAAUCACAACCGCUGGAUAAGGCGCGCAUGGCAAUCAAACGGCUCACAUUCAAACAUCAAAGCGCUGCGUUUCAUUAAAC